GACGAACGCUGGCGGCGUGCUUAACACAUGCAAGUCGAACGGAAAGGCCCUGCUUUUGUGGGGUGCUCGAGUGGCGAACGGGUGAGUAACACGUGAGUAACCUGCCCUUGACUUUGGGAUAACUUCAGGAAACUGGGGCUAAUACCGGAUAGGAGCUCCUGCUGCAUGGUGGGGGUUGGAAAGUUUCGGCGGUUGGGGAUGGACUCGCGGCUUAUCAGCUUGUUGGUGGGGUAGUGGCUUACCAAGGCUUUGACGGGUAGCCGGCCUGAGAGGGUAACCGGCCACAUUGGGACUGAGAUACGGCCCAGACUCCUACGGGAGGCAGCAGUGGGGAAUAUUGCACAAUGGGCGGAAGCCUGAUGCAGCAACGCCGCGUGCGGGAUGACGGCCUUCGGGUUGUAAACCGCUUUCGCGUGUGACGAAGCGUGAGUGACGGUAAUGGGUAAAGAAGCACCGGCUAACUACGUG
Molecule: ribosomal RNA, 468 nt
Filed under: uncultured bacterium
Lineage: Bacteria
Description: partial 16S ribosomal RNA
Rfam family: Bacterial small subunit ribosomal RNA
Source: RNAcentral